GAAUUGUUUUCGUUGUUUAGUCAUAUGACCCAUCCCCCCUUUCUACCAAAUGGUUUCGACUAGUCACAUGAUUCCCUCAGUGGGGCCCUAUUACCAACUCAUCGAAAUUUAUUCCGCUCGGAAACUAGCUUUCACCGGAUUGCCAAUUUCGUAAAACCCACUUUGCCGUAACAUGAGCAUAUCGGAAUCGAAAUCGCCAUUCCGCACGAUUCCGGUGAAAUUGGAGUUUGUAGGCGGGACUAACUUUGACCAAUUAGAAAAUUACUAUAAUUCUAAUUUAUUAAUCUGGCAACAAUAUGUUUGUUUUCUCUUCUUCUAUGCGAGCUAAAAUCGCAUUAACUUAAAAAUGAAAGCUUAAACAUUCAUACAUUUUCAACAAUUUUGUGUGUUCUUAUUUUGUGUGUGUGUUUGUGCCAAGCUUGUGUUUAUUUGAAGUAUAGAGUGAAGUGCAUACAGCGUAGUAUUUUCAAAUGGCUUCACGCACAAAAAUUAAUGUUCCCCAACAAGCAAUGAUUGUUGAAUAUCUGGAAAAGAAUCCUGAUCUCAAUAAAGGUACCCUUACCGGCACUUUUACCUCUAAGCUAAAGCAUCAACAUUGGGAAGUGCUUUCAAAGAUGCUGAAUUCGGAAGGUGGAUGCAUCAAAUCUGUCGACAAAUGGAUGAAGUCUUGGUCUGAUUAUAAGCAAGAGAUAAAAGAAAAAGUAUUUAAAAAGAGUAAAGCAAGCUAAUGGCACCGGAGGAGUUCCCCCUCUAAAAGAAUUAACAGAGUUGGAGGAAAGAGUUUUAGCUUUGAUAUGUACAGAUGCGUACAAAGGACUGACUCACUAUAAAGGAGCACAGGCUUUCUCCAGUGCCUGAAUCUAUUGAAGUAAUUUUGCCUGGGUCUCCAGCGGACUGAUUCGUAGAAUUGAGCUUCAGUGUGGAUGAAGCCGAAUCAAUGUCUGAGCCAUGCCACAGCCAGCACUCAGUCAGUCAGUUGGAGACACCCGUGGAAUCCCCAACACCUGUUCCAGCAGCGAAGACCUCUUCCGCAUACGAGCAAGUGCCUACAAAGAGGUUAAAAUGUUUCGUUGCCUUGCGGUUUCCAGUGUUUUUAAUAUUUUAUGAAUAAUGGGCACAGUUAGCUUUUGGAAGCAUUGGAAUCUGGAGUAAAAUUAAGUAUUUUUUAAGACUUUUAGGGCAUUUUUUAUAUACAUCACAUCUAAUAGAUAGGCUUUUUAAUAUAUCACAACAGUUUUUUACAUCAUAAUUCUGAAAGUUAAUUCGCUCUGUGUGUUCGUAAACGGCUAUGAAAUAAAGUCUUAACAUUUAAAAGGAAUAAUAUCGAUUCAUAUUAAAUUAGGAAUAAAUGAGUUUUAAAAAUUCAAUAAUUUUUAAUAGUAUUGGGUUGACUGAAUGUAGGGUUUAGUGGCACAAGGUCCAAAUGAGGACAUGCUGCGCCAAACAGUACGGUAAAAUAGUUUAAAAGUCUAAGGGCAUUCAAAUUUAAUUUUAAUAUAUUUAUAACUGAUAAAACAGUACUAGCAGGUGAA
Parasteatoda tepidariorum (common house spider) is the source of this 1532-nucleotide long non-coding RNA. The record is from RefSeq and is a predicted model, not a curated record. Lineage: Eukaryota; Metazoa; Arthropoda; Arachnida; Araneae; Theridiidae.